AGACCAACUUACCUCGCUGUAGUCGCCCUUCCUCGAGUCGAAUCCUCAUUUCCUCUCGCCUCUCUUUUCUUCUCUCGACCUAAUCAUUUCAGUCUCUCUCUUUCUUCUCUGGCCUCUCGGCCUCUCUUUCUUCUCUUCGAUAAUCUUCUCAGUUUUCUCUUCGUCAUCGAGAAUUCGAGAUCAUCAAGGAGAUUGCCAAGGACUGGAAGGAUCGUCAGUCCUCUUAGUUUUCUCUUCGUCUCUGGUCUCCGCCGCCACUCCGGUCAUCUAGGCCCUCAAAGAGCUAGAUCGCGACCGCAAGGUGUAGAACAUCAAGCACAGCGGCAAGUUGACAAUGAGGACCUGAGCGGGACCGUCGCUUUACCCGCACCUUUAUUCUUCUUCAUAUUCUGCAGAUCCAGAGCCUUUCUCUCAAGUACUCUCUCUAUCUCUAUAUCUGUAUAUAUCUAUAGAUCUUUCUACCUCUGUUCGAUUCUAAUUGAUAUUAAUAGUUUUGUAAUUUGUAAAAACUGAGAUGAAGGUGUUUGCUGCAGAUCCAGCCAUAUUGCUGAAGACAUCAAGCAGCCCCGGUUUCUGGAACUAUUUGUAACUGUUGUUUUGAAGCUGUGAGUGAGCUGCAGAAUUUGCUUUUGAUUUUAGAGUUUCUCUGGCCAGCUCUGCUUCUACCUGUUGCCGGUAACAAGAUUUACAGUCAGCAAGAUAGAUCAAAAAUGCCACUUGAGCUUAGUAGUGCUCUCUCAAUUGAGCGUGAACCAGUUGAUGAUCCUGAAAUUCGUGCUGAAGUCCUGGAGGCAAUAUACAUGAUCACAUUACAGGUCGACUAACUAACAUUUCGUCUGAGUUCUUUCUAAGUGUGCUCUACAUGCAGUAAUUUAUAUCUUGACUUGUUUAUUUAAUGGAUGGUAUAUGGCUGCAUGCUUUCAAAGUUAAAAAUUGAUAUCAAGGAAUGUACGUGAUUCAAUAACAAAGGCAGAUAUUUUAGCAUCCAGCAUAUUUAGCAUUCAAAGUUCAUUUUCCAAGGCAGAAAUUUUAUCAUAGUGAGAUCUCAUCUAGCAUCAUCAUUCAUCAGAUCAUAAUGCUCAAAAGAAAUCAUAUUUUCUUUUGGCCAAAAGUAAAAAGAUAUCUACAAAAAGAAAAUGUGAAUGUACUCAUAGAGAGAUGAAGUAACAUCUUGCAUGCCAUGUUAACGAAAAAUAAAAUAGGACAGAAAGAGGGGGGAGGGAAAAAGAUAAUAUUUUACUAAUCUAUUACGUUCUUUUAACUCAUAAACUAAACUGUGAUAGAAAGGCAGCCUCAUGCCUCAAAAAGUUGCAUCAAAUAUUGAUCCACAGGAUACUGCUUUAGUGUACUGAAUCUGAAGCAAAAACACAUCUAUGCUAAUUUGGGCUUUUUCUUUGUAUAUCUGUUCGGCUUUUGCAGGUGAAAAAUGAUGCAAGCACUAAUGGUUUUCGUUUUUGUUACUGGUAAGUUGUUUAGUAUUCAAUCAGUUUGCUCAACUUAUCUAAUCUCAACUCAUUAUCCACUCAAGUUCAGUCUGAUGUAAUCUUGCAAGUUGUAAUGCAGGCCUUGCUAACUCUAUUUAUAGAUUAUGGUUCAGCAGCAAUGGGACAGAACCCAACCAAGGCUGAGCUCUAAGAUAUGAUCAAUGAAGUGGACUGUUAAUGGAUUUUUAACUUUCAAGCAUUCUAUUUGAUUAAUUGUAAUCUAUAUAUGUUGGUCCUUGUAGAUAAUCAUUUUUGCUAGAUUUUGGAUCUAGGUUUUGCUGGCUGUUGUUGGUUUGUGUUGAAUUACUACUAGUUAUAAGUUA
This is a long non-coding RNA of Rosa chinensis, 1807 nucleotides long. RefSeq lists it as uncharacterized. The transcript has 3 exons. Lineage: Eukaryota; Viridiplantae; Streptophyta; Magnoliopsida; Rosales; Rosaceae. The record is from RefSeq and is a predicted model, not a curated record.